This is a non-coding RNA of Pelobates cultripes (western spadefoot toad), 330 nucleotides long. NCBI's taxonomy places the organism in Eukaryota, Metazoa, Chordata, Amphibia, Anura, Pelobatidae. The record is from the annotation of a GenBank genome assembly.
GGAAAUUGUUGUUGGGUUUUGUGUGGGGAUGCUGCUGUUUGCGUGUGUGCAUGUAAAUAGGGGCUGCAUGUAAAUAGGUGAUAUGAGUUGGAGUGUUUGUUGUGGAGGAUAGAUGCAUUGUGUGUAUGUUGUCGCUGGAUAGGGGCUUUAGUGUAGGUUGUUGUGGAUAGGUGCUGUUGUGUGUGUGUUGAGGGGGAGAAAGCGACUGUCCUGGGGGUGAUAGGGACUCUGGGGCAGAUAUGCAUUGUAGUGUGUGAUAGGGUCUAUGGUGGUGGCAAUAAAGGCUAUAGUGGGGAAGUUUGACUAUAGUGUAUGGAUAUUGGCUGAGAG